This 453-nucleotide ribosomal RNA is filed under the name uncultured bacterium. RNAcentral describes it as "bacterial SSU rRNA". It matches the Rfam family "Bacterial small subunit ribosomal RNA", at positions 38 to 518 of the family's 1533-position model. The record is from RNAcentral.
GGCGGCGUGCCUAAUACAUGCAAGUCGAAUGGUAGCAAUACCAUGGCGAACGGGUGAGUAACACGUAGGUAACCUGUCUUUAAGCCGAGGAUAACCAUUGGAAACGAUGGAUAAUACUGGAUAGGACAUUUGAAGGCAUCUUUAGAUGUUUAAAGAUUUAUCACUUAGAGAGGGGCCUGCGGCGCAUUAGCUAGUUGGUGAGGUGAAGGCUUACCAAGGCGAUGAUGCGUAGCCGGACUGAGAGGUUGAACGGCCACAAUGGAACUGAGAACGGUCCAUACUCCUACGGGAGGCAGCAGUAGGGAAUUUUCGGCAAUGGGCGGAAGCCCUGACCGAGCAACGCCGCGUGAACGAAGAAGUAUUUCGGUAUGUAAAGUUCUUUUAUUAGGGACGAAAAGACAGAUUGACGGUACCUAAUGAAUAAGCUCCGGCUAACUACGUGCCAGCCGCGGC